AACUGUAUUAUUAUGAUGACUGCAUAGUUCAUAUGAUCUUACUAUGAUAUUUAUAAUGUUUCUAUGUUGAAAUUGGUCUUUCACCCCUAUCUGAAUACAACA
This 102-nucleotide small nucleolar RNA is filed under the name Anopheles atroparvus. RNAcentral's name for it is "small nucleolar RNA snR60/Z15/Z230/Z193/J17". It matches the Rfam family "Small nucleolar RNA snR60/Z15/Z230/Z193/J17". From Rfam's summary of the family: The members of this family belong to the C/D class of snoRNAs which contain the C (UGAUGA) and D (CUGA) box motifs. Most of the members of the box C/D family function in directing site-specific 2'-O-methylation of substrate RNAs. The record is from RNAcentral. Lineage: Eukaryota; Metazoa; Arthropoda; Insecta; Diptera; Culicidae.